GACGAACGCUGGCGGCGUGCCUAAUACAUGCAAGUCGAGCGGACGGAUGGGAGCUUGCUCCCAGACCGUCAGCGGCGGACGGGUGAGUAACACGUGGGCAACCUGCCUGUAAGACUGGGAUAACUCCGGGAAACCGGGGCUAAUACCGGAUAACUCUUUCCCUCACAUGAGGGAAAGCUGAAAGAUGGCAUCUCGCUAUCACCUACAGAUGGGCCCGCGGCGCAUUAGCUAGUUGGUGAGGUAACGGCUCACCAAGGCGACGAUGCGUAGCCGACCUGAGAGGGUGAUCGGCCACACUGGGACUGAGACACGGCCCAGACUCCUACGGGAGGCAGCAGUAGGGAAUCUUCCGCAAUGGACGAAAGUCUGACGGAGCAACGCCGCGUGAGUGAUGAAGGUUUUCGGAUCGUAAAACUCUGUUGUCAGGGAAGAACAAGUACCGGAGUAACUGCCGGUACCUUGACGGUACCUGACCAGAAAGCCACGGCUAACUACGUG
RNAcentral lists this ribosomal RNA (498 nucleotides) under uncultured bacterium. Its description in RNAcentral is "partial 16S ribosomal RNA". It matches the Rfam family "Bacterial small subunit ribosomal RNA", at positions 28 to 507 of the family's 1533-position model. The record is from RNAcentral.